This 253-nucleotide ribosomal RNA is filed under the name uncultured bacterium. Its description in RNAcentral is "partial 16S ribosomal RNA". It matches the Rfam family "Bacterial small subunit ribosomal RNA", at positions 524 to 776 of the family's 1533-position model. The record is from RNAcentral.
UACGUAGGGGGCAAGCGUUGUCCGGAAUCAUUGGGCGUAAAGCGCGCGUAGGCGGCCCGAUAAGUCUGCCGUAAAAGUCAACGGCUCAACCGUUGAAAGUCGGUGGAUACUGUCGGGCUAGAGUCCGGAAGAGGCAAGUGGAAUUCCUGGUGUAGCGGUGGAAUGCGCAGAUAUCAGGAGGAACACCUAUAGCGAAGGCAGCUUGCUGGGACGGUACUGACGCUAAGGCGCGAAAGCGUGGGGAGCGAACAGG